UAACACGUGGGUAACCUGCCUGUAAGACUGGGAUAACUCCGGGAAACCGGGGCUAAUACCGGAUGGUUGUUUGAACCGCAUGGUUCAAACAUAAAAGGUGGCUUCGGCUACCACUUACAAAUGGACCCGCGGCGCAUUAGCUAGUUGGUGAGGUAAUGGCUCACCAAGGCAACGAUGCGUAGCCGACCUGAGAGGGUGAUCGGCCACACUGGGACUGAGACACGGCCCAGACUCCUACGGGAGGCAGCAGUAGGGAAUCUUCCGCAAUGGACGAAAGUCUGACGGAGCAACGCCGCGUGAGUGAUGAAGGUUUUCGGAUCGUAAAGCUCUGUUGUUAGGGAAGAACAAGUACCGUUCGAAUAGGGCGGUAC
RNAcentral lists this ribosomal RNA (371 nucleotides) under Bacillus spizizenii. RNAcentral describes it as "bacterial SSU rRNA". It matches the Rfam family "Bacterial small subunit ribosomal RNA", at positions 111 to 478 of the family's 1533-position model. Lineage: Bacteria; Bacillati; Bacillota; Bacilli; Caryophanales; Bacillaceae. The record is from RNAcentral.